GUGCCUGCUUCGGCCGUACAUAUACUAAAAUUGGAACAUUGGUAACAGAAGAUUAGCAUGGCUCCUGCACAAAGAUGACACGCAAAUUCAUCAAGCAUUCCUUUUUUUU
This is a small nuclear RNA of Nomascus leucogenys (northern white-cheeked gibbon), 109 nucleotides long. The record is from Ensembl. Lineage: Eukaryota; Metazoa; Chordata; Mammalia; Primates; Hylobatidae.